Long non-coding RNA from Amphiprion ocellaris (clown anemonefish), 472 nucleotides. The record is from Ensembl. Lineage: Eukaryota; Metazoa; Chordata; Actinopteri; Pomacentridae.
GUGGAAGUUUGUCGGCUUAGACCUGGUGUCAUUCCAUCAGUGUUAAACUUCCCGGCUCAUCUUUGAAGAGUACGUGCCAGAAAGACCACAACCAAGCAGCCUUGAGAUCUUAGGCAGCGUCUCCCUCAGGUCCCUCUCUAUCUCCCCACACAUCCACCAACCACUGGAACACAUCUCCAAAGUUCUGCUGGACCAGCUCAGCUUCCCCUCAGAAGAAGUUCCACCAGAUGAAGGAGCCUUUUGAGAGGCAGCUGGCAUCGUGAUUGGACUGUACUUUGGUCUGUUCCAAUCCAGCUUCAGCUCCAGAGAUGGCAGGCGGGACGAGUCAACGGAGGCCUGGUGGAUGAAGACAUGCAGCUGAGUACAAUCCAGAAAACAACAGAGGAGGAGUGCAGCAGCCCAGAGCCAGAACAGAGUAGCAUAGUAUAUCUCUUAGAAAACAUCAUAGUAUAGCCUUUGGUAUGAAAAAACA